Molecule: ribosomal RNA, 207 nt
Filed under: uncultured bacterium
Lineage: Bacteria
Description: partial 16S ribosomal RNA
Rfam family: Bacterial small subunit ribosomal RNA
Source: RNAcentral
UACGUAGGUGGCAAGCGUUGUCCGGAUUUACUGGGCGUAAAGGAUGCGUAGGCGGACAUUUAAGUCAGAUGUGAAAUACCCGAGCUUAACUUGGGUGCUGCAUUUGAAACUGGGUGUCUAGAGUGCAGGAGAGGUAAGUGGAAUUCCUAGUGUAGCGGUGAAAUGCGUAGAGAUUAGAAGGAACACCAGUGGCGAAGGCGACUCCUG